This 404-nucleotide ribosomal RNA is filed under the name uncultured Bacillota bacterium. Its description in RNAcentral is "bacterial SSU rRNA". It matches the Rfam family "Bacterial small subunit ribosomal RNA", at positions 378 to 774 of the family's 1533-position model. The record is from RNAcentral. Lineage: Bacteria; Bacillati; Bacillota.
GAAGUCUGAUGGAGCAACGCCGCGUGAGUGAUGAAGGUUUUCGGAUCGUAAAACUCUGUUGUAAGGGAAGAACCAGUACGUCAGGCAAUGGACGUACCUUGACGGUACCUUAUUAGAAAGCCACGGCUAACUACGUGCCAGCAGCCGCGGUAAUACGUAGGUGGCAAGCGUUGUCCGGAUUUACUGGGCGUAAAGAGUAUGUAGGCGGACAUUUAAGUCAGAUGUGAAAUCCCCGGGCUUAACCUGGGAGCUGCAUUUGAUACUGGGUGUCUAGAGUGUAGGAGAGGAAAGUGGAAUUCCUAGUGUAGCGGUGAAAUGCGUAGAGAUUAGGAAGAACACCAGUGGCGAAGGCGACUUUCUGGACUAUAACUGACGCUGAGAUACGAAAGCGUGGGGAGCAAACA